This 253-nucleotide ribosomal RNA is filed under the name uncultured bacterium. Its description in RNAcentral is "partial 16S ribosomal RNA". It matches the Rfam family "Bacterial small subunit ribosomal RNA", at positions 524 to 776 of the family's 1533-position model. The record is from RNAcentral.
UACAGAGGGUGCGAGCGUUAAUCGGAAUUACUGGGCGUAAAGCGUGCGUAGACGGUUAUUUAAGUCGGGUGUGAAAGCCCCGGGCUCAACCUGGGAAUUGCAUUCGAGACUGAAUAGCUAGGGUACGGUAGAGGGAAGCGGAAUUUCCGGUGGAGCGGUGAAAUGCGUAGAGAUCGGAAAGAACACCAACGGCGAAAGCACUCUGCUGGGCCGACACUGACACUGAGAGACGAAAGCUAGGGGAGCGAAUGGG